RNAcentral lists this long non-coding RNA (10529 nucleotides) under Mytilus galloprovincialis (Mediterranean mussel). Lineage: Eukaryota; Metazoa; Mollusca; Bivalvia; Mytilida; Mytilidae. The record is from RNAcentral.
AAAAUGGCUACAGCCUGAUCGCAUUUUGGUGUUAAAGCAAUCGUUAUUAUUCUAUUAGGAAAAUAUAGACAUCGAGUUAAAUGGACAUGAUGGAAGACAAGUAUAUGAUCUGUGGUAAGUGUAGCUCGCGUAUGAAUGUGUUGGACACGCAUGAAGAAUGCUACAGACAUCGUAUAUGUCACAAGGCUUUUCCGUGCAAUAUUUGCCGGGAAUGGGAUGACGAUAAGCGAUCGCUAGUCGAUAAAAUGUUCGAGAAAGCCAGGUCAAGGCUUUCUUUUUCUGCAAAUGCCGUUAAUCCUUCUGUGCAGGUGAGGCAGGCAAGAAACUUGAAUGUACGGCAAAGCUGAGUGAAUUGGCGUCGUGGGACAAGCAUGACAAACAAUCUAAAGUCCGAACUGAUCAUGGUGCAGAUGAUCGUGAGACUCAAAGUAGAGGAGUACAUUUUGAAGCAGUUGAAUUUAACAAAUUUAUAGCAGAUCAAGUGCAAAUGCAAUUGAAAAAAUUGUUACCAAAGGCGCAGGCACAAGGCUUAAAGCAAGUGAUGCAUGUUCAGAUACAUUGAAUAAUAAACAUAUGCAUGCUUCCAUUGACUCGAAUUGUGAAAUUUCUUUGUCUAGGCCAAGGGCACACUAUAGUAAACUUAUGCCAUCUGAUGAUCAGAUUUCUGUUGUUUCUCGUGAAAUCGAAGAUGAAAUAAGUAUGGGUGGUUUAGCUAUUUCUGAUGAAAAUAAUAAUGAUGCCCACUCUCAGUCACAACCUUCUCAUGAUAAAGAAUUUUCUCUGUUUAGUGAAGGAGCACCAGGAUCUACUGAUCCAAUUCAAUGGAAUAAUUUUCUCCAUAAAUUAAAAGCCAAAUUGAAAAUAGAUUGUUUCAGAGGAGACUGAAGUAGAUUCAGUCAGAACUCUCUUAUUUGCCUUCAAGACUAAAUCCUGGCAAUCACAGAUAAAGCAACUUCAUUUAAAAUUACCUUUAGAGGGUACUACAAUUGAAGUUUCCAAGAAUGUUGAAAAGGAAGCUAUGUCUGGUAGACUUAAAAAUAGGUAAGUGGUGAUAAGGCUUUUAUGGUGUCGAAAAAAGAUUUUACAGAAUUUCGUUCCCCCCUCCUCAAGGCUUAAUGAUAAUAUAGAGGAAGGUUUGUCUUCUACUAUGGGCAAUAAAAAAAGUUUUGUAGACCAUAAACAGUUUUCGCACUCUUUAUCUUCCCUCCAUAAGGAAAUGGAUGCUGAAUUUAGAAAAGUUGACAACUCAGCUAGGACAUUGUUAAGAAGUGUUUCAUAUGGCUCUUUGAUAGCAAGCUAUAUGUUGCUGAUUUAGAGGAGGACAGGGUAGAAGCAUUUUCAGCUUUAGUAGCAUGUUUCAAAUCAAUGGCAGAUAUGACUUCACGUAUAGUUGCUAAUUCUGUUAUAAACAGAAGGAACAUUUUCUUAAAACAUGUAGAUUUCACUAGCAAAGCAUUCCUCUGUUGAAAAUAUAAGAGAUUCUAAAGAAACGUUUAUCGUUCUUCAUUUAUUCCUGGAGGGCAAAAAUUUGAUGAAGGAUCUAGAAAAAGAAAAUCUCAAGAAACUUCUAAUGUAACCUACGGCAAACCUGCAAAAACAUCAAGAUAUGAUAAGCAGGAUUUUAAUGACCGUCGUGGCAUUGACACUUCGUUUAAUUUUCGUGCCUUACCAGCAAAACAAGGAGGAAAAGGAUUUUUAUUAUAGAAAAAUUCCUCCCAGAAAAAUUUCAAGAGAUAAACAAUUAUUUGUCUGCGGUAAGUCUCCAGGGAGGAGCGCGGUUGUUACAUUACAACAGUCAGUGGUUUCAAAUAACUCAAGACAAAUUAGUACUUCAGAUAGUGAAGAACGGUUUGAUUUUAGAUUUCGUAAGUCUUCCAGCUUUUACAGGAGUAAAAGAGACAGUUGUAUACCAGAGUAGGUGCAAACAGGUCUUCUAUGUUAGAAGAGGUAAAUUCUUUGUUAGAAAAAACAUGCUAUAGAGCCUGUCUGAAAAGUGCAGAAAAUCAGGGUUGUUACAGUACAAUAUUCAUGGUACUAAAAUGACAAGGAGGUCUCCGAUCAAUUUAAAACCACUGAACCAGUUUGUCAUACGUCAUCACUUCAAAAUGGAAUCCCUCAGAUCGAUUCUAAAAAGUCUGAACAUUGGGAACUGGGCAGUAAAACUGUAUUUGCAAGAUGCAUAUUUCCAUAUCCCCAUUCACAAGCAUUACAGAAAGUUUCUCCGCUUCAGCAUUUUGGGAAAAAAGUACCAAUACCGAGCUCUACCGUUCGGUCUACGAUCGGCUCCAAGGAUUUUCACAAAAGGGAUGGCAGUAGUAGGUGCAUUUCUGCGAAAUAAAUGAUUCACAUAUUUAUGUACCUGGACGAUUGGAUGUUAAAAACAGCAGCAAAGUAAAGCUGACAAAACAAUUACAGUACACUCAGCAAUUGUUAAAAAAAUCAGGGUUUGAUAAUCAAUGGGAACAAUCUUGUUUAGUUCCGACUCAAAUAAUACAGUUUCUAGGAGCAGUGAUUCACUUAAAAGAAGGUCUUGUUUUUCCGUCUCUAGAGAGAUUAAAAAAUAUAAGUCAGAUGAUUCAAAUAUUCCAAAAUUCCCAAACAGUAGAGGCAUGUAAUGUUGAGACUACUUGGUCUUAAGGGCAUCGAUACAGUACAGGGAAGGUAAUGGUUGCUAACGUAAAAUUUAUUUUGCGAUGACAUAUCGGGAAAAGAUAUUUUCGACUGAUUUUAUCAUUCAAACUGAUUAAUUUGAAAACGAGUGCAUGGACCCCUAUUUUUUAAAAUAGCUUUGUUUCAUUUUGCAAGGAGAUUAUGUGACCCAAAUUUUAUAAAACUGUAAAUAGCGCAAUUUUUUUAAUUUUAAUAAACAUUCAGCAAAAAAUGACGUUUUUUCCUCUAUUCAUGAACAUUCGAUAAAUAUAGAGUUAUUUCGGAAUAAAAAAUUGCAUAAUUUUUAAUGAAGUUAUAAAAAUACAGAAUUACCGAUUAUUUAACAAAAAAACAAUUUGUGUUUAUCUUUUAAAGCAAAAAAGUUACGUCGUUCUUUCGAAAAAGAAAAAUGGACACAAAUCUGAAUUUUGAGCAAAUAUCAAAAUACCUCAUUUACUCAAAAAGUAGCACAUGAAGGUAUAUUUUUAUGACAUUUUGAUUAAUCAGGUAAAAAAUAGCCUAUAUGCAAAUUUUCAUCAACUUGUAAAUACAGGUUCAGAACUGUAUCGUAUGCCCUUAAGGCUUCAUGCAUAGAUUUAGUUCUAUGGGCCCGACUGCACAUGAGACCACUUCAGCUUUAUCUUCUAACUUGGUGGAGACCAGCUCUACACAGUUUCAAUCAUUUGAUUCCACUGUAUCAACCACUUCAGGAACAUCUAUUCUGGUGACGUAACCGAAGAAUUUUUUUCAAGGGAGUGUUAUUAGAACAGGAAUCUGCUCAGGUGACUAUGGUGAGAGAUGCGUCACAGUCGAGAUUGGGAGCUCAUAUAAACAAUUAUCAGAUAGCAGGUGUUUCGCCACCUCAGUACAAAGUGAAACACAUCAAUUGGCUAGAGCUCAAAGCUGUGCAGUUAGCACUGUAAACAUUUCUGAUAAAAGUACAAAUUAAAAGUGUUCUAGUGAGAACAGACAAUGCAAUUGUCGUCAGUUAUCAAAACAAACAGGGAGGUACCCGAACCCGAAACCUUUGUUACUUGGCAUGGGAUCUUUUGAAAUGGUGUAUAAAUCACAAUGUCAAAAUCCAAGCUGUUCAUAUUCCGGGGAAAAGAAUAUUAUAGCAGAUGCCCUGUCAAGGGGGGGGGAGGACUAUUCGUUUGAAGAAUGGGCAUUAGAUAUGACAAUAGUGAAUUUGUUGUUCCUUCAGCUAGGAACACCAGUAAAAGAUCUGUUUGCGACUUCCAUGAACAAGAAGCUGCCAGUGUUUUGCUCUCCUUCGCCGGAAGAAACAGCAGUAUCAAUAGAUGCGCUGUCGAUGAAAUGGACAGGUCUAUUUGCUUAUGCCUUCCCUCCACCGAUAUUUCUAAACAGAGUAUUACAAAAAAUACAGAAAAAGGACUGUGUAAUUUUACUGAUAGCGCCAAUGUGGCCGAGACAGUCGUGGUACAGUCAACUUCUCAACCUGUUUAUAGACUUUUCAAUACAACUGCCUGUCCAACAAAAUCUAUAAAGUCAAAAUGGAAUACUUCAUCAAAAUCCAAGUGUUCUAAAUCUUGUAGCUUGUAAGUCAAGCACUUUAGCUGGUUACAAGUCAGCAAUAGCUUUAAUACUGUAUUUCAUCUAAAGAUAGAAUUUCUAUUAACAUGGAUUUGCGUAAUUUAAUUAAAGGAUUGUACAACGUUAAUCCACCUAUAAGGUAUUUGGCGCAAAAUUGGGAUUUGCCGUUGGUUUUGCUAGAAUCACUAGAGGAAGCAGAAUUGAAAUAUUUAACCUUGAAGACAGUUUUUCUUAUGGCAUUAGCUUCUGCUGCAAGAGUCCGUGAAUUACACAGUUUCACUAUUAAUGACAAACGUUUCAGAAAAGAGCAAAGAGGUAUACGGUUGUUGCCAAAUUUUGCAGUUUCUUGCUAAAACUCAAACUUCGAAGAAACCAUGAGAACCAGUAUUCAUUCCCAAAUUUGAAAACUAUGCUACAGAUCCAAACGAUUUACUGCUGUGCCCUUGCAUAGCACUACUAGCUUAUAUUAAAAGAACUGAAGUUUUGCGCAAAUCACAAAGACUCUUUACAACAUAUCAAAAGGAUCAUUAUGUAGAGGCUUCUAAGAAUUCCAUUGCACGAUGGAUUGUGAACACAGUUAAAUAUGCAUAUGAACAUGCAAAUACAGACACACUUCAGUUUGUAGGAGCUCAUGAUAGAAGAAAGCCCUCAACUUCUUAGGCAUUAAUCAAUGGACUUUCCUCUCAUGAAAUUUUAAAAGCAGCUCAUUGGUCAAAUGAGACAACAUUCACAUCAUAUUAUUUGAAGGAUGUACCAGAUUUGGAAUCUCGGUUUGCAAAAGCUGCAAUUUUGCAUACGCCUAACAGAAAACAGAAGACGUAUUAAGGUAGAUAACUUUUUUUUACUAGUUAUUUUCUUCCUCUUAUCCACCACCUUUGGGUCUAUGCUGCAAAUUCUUUGCAAAUGUUUUUCAGACAGGUAAGUACACAUUUUGAUAUAAACUAUAGUUUUUUAAAGUAAGUUUGAGUGGCACCUUUAAAUGCAAAAUUAUUCAGUGAAACAAGAUCUUCUAUUAAGUCAAACUAUGUUUUGGACAAAAACUGAAGAAGAUGUAGAGAAAGUGUGAACAGAUUUUUUUAUCAGCAAUACGGGAUCAACAAAAAAAGUUCCAUGAAUUCUAGUAUAGUCUACAAUUUCGAAAAAAAUGUCCACUGUUGAAGAUGUACAUAGAUCUAGAUUACCUACACUGACGCUUUACAAGCCUCUUGUUUUUAUUAAAAUUGUCAACAAAAAGUGUGUUUUUUUUGCCAAUUUAUUUUUAAUUAAUGAAAUAUUCUCUUGACAAGUAAUGUUAUUCAAACACACAGUAUAUUGUUACUUAAAUAUCAAAGUAUAUCAUAUAAUCAAUAAAUUGCAUGACAUUGAGUUGAUAUGGUCUACACCCAACAUCAUGACAGUGGUUACAAAGCAAUUUGUCGAAAUCAAUUUUAUUUGGAACCAGUAGUCCACAAUAAAGUACAUGACCUUUUGAAGUUGAUGAAACUGUGUACUAAAACUAUUACAAUGUCAUUAAUUUACAUGAAUUACAUUUUUUUCUUAAAAUGUCUUGCACCAAGCCAUAUACGGUCCCCUCAGAAAACUUUAGAUAAGAUUCAUUAACGACCAAAACGUUAAAUCACAGAAAUACUGAACUCCGAGGAAAAUUCAAAAAGGAAAGCCCUAAUCAAAUACCAUUGUUGUUUGGUUUUUUGUUGCACUUCAGUGUUCUGUUGGUUCAUUGUUUUCCUCUUAUUGUUGUUGUGUUUCACUUGGUUUUAGUUUGUAACCUGGAUAUGUUUUCUCUCGAUCGAUUUAGGACUUUUGAACAGCGAUAUACUACUGUUGCCUUCCUUUAGCACAUACUUAAUGUCCGAUUGAAUAUCUUGAAUUUGCCUUCUUAGUAUAUAUUAGAUAACAAUUACCAAGUGUUGUCUGAGCAAUUCAGAACAUAUUCCCACCUUCGAGUGACAUUACCAAAUCAUUCUUUCCGAUUGUAAUAGUCAAAUCUAAAUGAGGGCACACUUAACAAAUCGUUAUAUGGUAAGUAAAAUUGAUGUUCUUAUAUAAUAAUGAUUUCAACAUAGGGAAUGGAAUAUUGUGAUACAAUUUUAUACUUAAAUUCCUUCAUUUAAAAAAUCUCACAAUGUUAUAUAAAUCAAAUUUUCUAAAAUUGUAUUAUUUUUUUUUCAUCAUCAAAAAUACCUUUAUCAAUUAAUCAUUGAAAUACGAUCGUUUCCUUUCAGUAUUUGUUUCUUUAAAAAAAGGGGGGGUUAAGGUCUUUCAUGUGAAUUAGAUUGAUUGCUAUUUUGUUUUGUUUUUGUUUUAUAUUCGAACCAUUCCUAUGGGAACGAACUGCGCACCUCUCCUUGCUGACCUCUUCUUAUUUUCAUAUGAAUCGGAGUUCCUUCAGACACUUGUCAAAAACAAAAGGAUCAAAGAAGCCAGGAUAUUUAAUUUCACUUUCAGAUAUAUUGAUGAUGUUCUUUCCAUUAACAAUCCGAACUAGAAAUUAAAGAGACAACAGACACGGCUUCCUUCGCCUCAUUUUUAGACUUAUACCUCGAAUUUGACAUACACAGUCAUCUUAGUACCAGAAUCUAUGACAAACGAGACGAUUCUGAUUUUGAAAUUAUCAAUUCCCCCACCUUAGUAGCAAUAUACCAACUUCACCUGCAUAUGGAAUAUACAUUUCCCAACUUAUUCGGUAUUCAAGAGCUUGCAGCUCCUACUCAGACUUUGUAAAACGUCACCAAUGUCUGAGCAGAAAGUUGAUGAACCAGGGAUAUGUCAAAGAACGUGUCGUCAUUUUUCUAAAAAAAAAAAGUUCAUCAGGAGGUACCCAGAACUUGUUGAUAAAUAUUCCGUAUCAACUUCACAAAUAAUACACGAUGGUCUUGAAGUAUAGAUUUUGCGUACUGACGUUGUUUAUCAUCUUAAUAACUUGUUACAUUAUUCUUUUAUUUGUAUUUAUUAAUAUAAUUACUUUUACUGUUAAGUCCGUUUUUUGAGAUAUCCUUUUUGGCGUAACUCUGUACUUAUGUAUCCCAUCAUACUUUGAACGACAAAAUUAUUUUAUGAUUUGACUCUUUACCUAUGUAUCUUGUCAUACUUUAAAUGACAAAAUUAUUUUAUUUAUCAAUAGUAGAUGAAUCUUUCUUCUUUCUUUUUGUACCUCAUUUAUAAUAUAUAAAGAAGGAUUAAAUGAAUUACAUCAGUUUAAAGGUGUCUGAUUGGGAGUGAAUAAAUCUUUGUAUUGUGCUACCUUAACCAACUUUUUUUGUGAUAUACAUUUGACGUGACUCUGUACUUAUGUAUCCCGUCAUACUUUGAACCACACUAUUAUUUUAUUUAUUAUUACUUUAUACUGUUUAGUCAGUGUUUGUUAUAUCUAUUUUGCGUGACUGUAUUUAUGCAUCCCGUCAUACUUUGAACGACAAAAUUAUUUCAUGUCUACCUGUGCGAAUUUCAAACGCGCAAUUUUACACCAGUACUCAAAACCCUCCUUCCUUGAUGGGUGCAUUUUACAUAAACAAAUAAAAUCUUAUAAUAUAAUCAAAAUGAGGAUGUUAAUUUGAUGUAUACCUUUUUGUGCCCCUUCGUUACAUUUGUAGGAUGUUAAUUUGAUGUAUACCUUUUUGUGCCUCUUCGUUACAUUUGUUGUUUUUAUAGUGAUUAAGAUGAUAACACAAUGUUGACUGCUGUACCCCUAUUUUUGACAUUUUUAACUAUUGUGUCUGUUUGUUUUGUUCACGCAUCGGUGACAAUAUAAUGGAAUGUGAUACGACUGUCAUACAAGUGAGAGGUUUAGCUAGCUAUAAAACCAGGUUCAAUCCACCAUUUUCUACAUUUGAAAAUGCCUGUACCAAGUCAGGAAUAUGACAGUUCUUGUCCAUUCGUUUUUGAUGCGUUUUGUUAUUUGAUUUUGCCAUGUGAUUAUGGACUUUCCGAAUUGAUUUUCCUCUGAGUUCAGUAUGUUUGUGAUUUUACUUUUUAAAUCAUCUUUAAACAAGUGAAAACUCAUCUUAAAAUUAUUUCAUAGUUCUGUUUUUUUGUUUUUGUUUAUAAUUAUAAUAAAGACAACAGUACUCAUGACUUUUUAAAUCUUAUUGUGGCACAUAAUGUAUAGUUUUUUUUUUUAAAGAAAAAAAGAAAAAUGUGUGCUUUUAAAAAGGAAGGAAUUUUAGAUAUAUAAGCAUUAAAUUGUACCUGAAGCAGAAAAGUUUCCAUUUUGGAAUAAUCUAUCCGUUUUUUUAUCACGAAACUGUCAUUUUAACCAUCUGUUAAAAAGACAACAGUUAUAUAGUAUAAAUUAUCAAAAACCAUUGAUUUUCAGGUCUCGUAUAAAAUUAGAUUAAAUAUUGUUUUUCCUACACAUUUGCCACUUUUUCAAUACUUUUAUUGCUCUAUGAAGUGUCGUAAUUGACGUGUCUUUCUACGGACUGUUAUAUUAUGAGCUAGCAAGUUAGAACCGACUCUACGUAAGUAAGUGACGUGUCUUUCUACGGACUGUUACAUUAUGAGCUACCAAGUUAAAAUUGGCUCUACAUUUCGGUCUCGUGCAUUAACAUGUUCUCGGCCUUGAAAAUGCAUAUCAAUUUUCCGCUAUAGACGUUAAGCAGCCAUCAUUUUUCUUUCUACGGACUGUUACAUUAUGAGCUAGCAAGUUAAAACUGGCUCUACAUUUCGGUCUCGUGCAUUAACAUGUUCUCGGCCUUGAAAAUGCAUAUCAAUUUUCCGCUAUAGACGUUAAGAAGCCAUCAUUUUUGAUCUUCUAAAUAUGUAGCAUUAUGUGCCUAUAAUUACUCUAAGUAUCAACACAAAAAGGUUAAAUGCAAAUUUGCGGAGGAAUGUUUUUCCGUAUAUUUGUGUUCUUCCCUCGUCUGUAAAUGUAUAAAAGUAAAAUUUUAUCUUUCACGCGAACGAAAUAAGCAAAUAAAUGAUCAAUCCAAACAAAAACCUAGCUCGUUCCAGCUACCAUAGGCAACACGACGGGUGCCACAUGUGGAGCAGGAUCUGCUUACCCUUCCGGAGCACAUGAGAUCACCACCAGUUUUUGGUUGGGUUCGUGUUGAUUAGUCUUUAGUUUAGUAUGUGUUGUCUUCUGUACUAUUAUUUUUCUGUUUGUUAUUUUUAGCCAUGACGUUAUUUAAAGAGUGACUUUGUAUAAAUUGGUACAAAACGAGAUAAAGAAAACAUUUUAAUACCACAAUAAAUCUACAAAAAUAAGCUUUCAAUUGUUUAUGUGAACGUCAGCACUAUUGAGUGUGUAAUCAGUAUGCGUAACGGAAUAUUGUGGUACAACUUUUUUAAUAAACGGAAAAUAAAAGUCCUUAAUGACUGGCUCUGAAUAAAUUACUGAUCAAAGAUUUUUUUUCGAAUUUAUUUAUUUAUCAGGAGGGAUGCAAUACUUCCUCCUUUAACAUACUACUGAUUAAUUGCUUAGAUGCAUGUAAAGAUGCAUGUAAAGAUGCAUGAACAGAUUACUUUCAAUAAAGAAACAACUCUAAAAUAUUGUCUAAGACAAUUUAAUACGAGAUAAAGAAAAUAGGAAAUAUCUCUUGUAUCUUUAAUACAGAUGCCAUUAGUGGUCAAUACCAGAAUUCUAAAUGAAACGAGAUAAAGAAAACAUUUUAAUACCACAAUAAAUCUACAAAAAUAAGCUUUCAAUUGUUUAUGUGAACGUCAGCACUAUUGAGUGUGUAAUCAGUAUGCGUAACGGAAUAUUGUGGUACAACUUUUUUUAAUAAACGGAAAAUAAAAGUCCUUAAUGACUGGCUCUGAAUAAAUUACUGAUCAAAGAUUUUUUUCGAAUUUAUUUAUUUAUCAGGAGGGAUGCAAUACUUCCUCCUUUAACAUACUACUGAUUAAUUGCUUAGAUGCAUGUAAAGAUGCAUGUAAAGAUGCAUGAACAGAUUACUUUCAAUAAAGAAACAACUCUAAAAUAUUGUCUAAGACAAUUUAAUACGAGAUAAAGAAAAUAGGAAAUAUCUCUUGUAUCUUUAAUACAGAUGCCAUUAGUGGUCAAUACCAGAAUUCUAAAUGAAACAGAAGAUUCUUAUUCCUCUUUCACGUGUCCGUUUGAUGCACGGUUGUCAAGUUGUUUUUUAUUUGUAUUUUUCAGAUAGGCUUGAAUGUAGAAAUUAGAAAACAACAAGAUAAAUGUUACAGAUCCUAUCACAAAGAUCCAUGCCAUGGGACGUGGAAACCCACAGUCGAUAAACAGUAACUGCGAACUAUGUAGUAAAAUUAGUACAAACUGGAUCUAAAAAACAAAUAUACAUACAUAUUACGAGUAUACUUUAUAGAGCCGCAAAAUUUUAAUAUGAAUGUAAACGUACCGAUUCACA